Molecule: ribosomal RNA, 2959 nt
Filed under: Triticum aestivum (bread wheat)
Lineage: Eukaryota; Viridiplantae; Streptophyta; Magnoliopsida; Poales; Poaceae
Description: partial small subunit ribosomal RNA
Source: RNAcentral
CAAAAUUAUGGGGAUAGGACUGUUGAGCAAAGUAGCCUCCAUUGUCUUUCCCAUAGAACCCAUUAACGGUGGCGCAAAGGGCGCAUCCUGGUGACGUCCACGUCGGAUUAGCUAGAAGACAAAGAGAUUUACUUCGAGAAGAAAGAGAGAGAGGGAUUGGCCAGCGAUGAGAGAAAAGGAUUGGCCCCCACUCCCCAUUGCCCGAUUCCUCUCCCUCUCCCUCUUGUUGCCGCUGCCGCCACCGGCGACCUCCCUGCAGCCGCCGCCAUCAGCCACGCCCUCCCCAACGGCUGACUCUCCCACCCCUUUUCUCCUCAACAUCGGCGACCUCUCCUCCCCCUCGCACCAGAUCGAGCAGCAUGUCGGGCAGGGCGAGCGGAGCGGGGAUGGGAGGAGACGGGCAGACGGCGGCGGAGCGGGGAUGGGAGGAGAUGGGCAGACGGCGGCGGAGCGGGGAUGGGAGGAGAUGGGCAGACGGCGGCGGCGGCGUCCUCCUCGCCCAUCGGCGCGCGACACCUGUCAGAGCCCCGUCGGCUCCGUCGAUCUGCCAGACCUAGGUCGCCGGCGUGGCUGCUGUCUCAGGCGAGAAGAGUGGUCGCGUUAAGACGCGGGAAGGGGGAGCAGCCAACCAUGCUCAAGGCCGUCCGUGGCGGCUGCAAAUCGAGGCUGCGGCUACAAAUUGAAGGUCAGUGCGCGGCGGCCCUCUCUCCUUCUCAUCCCCUCUCGCUCGAGCGAAAGUUGCGGACAUAGUGGCGGUGGCCCGUCCGUGGCGUCGUCCUCAGCCAGAGAAGGGGAGAGGAGGGCGAGAUGAAGAGAGGAAGUGGAGGGAGAUGGUGAGUCCAUGGAGAAGCACCACCGGGAGCAGAUCCGGCCAUCCGCGGCAAGAAGGCCAUGCCUCCCUCUACCUCCGUGCCGUCACCCAGGUUCAGGCAUAGCAUACUGAUGCAAUUGAGGUGCAUCCGCUGGUGCCGAACAAACAGCAUAAAAGCCAUCUUCAGCACCAAACCAUCUAUGCAUCGUGACUGAAUGAACUGGUGCACUCUACUAUGGCUGGAAGUAGGCAAGGUGGACUAAUCGCAGGAGCUUCGGCUGCAAUGAUGUUUGCUAGAUUGAAUGGUUACUUGGAAAGUACUGGCCAAAUCAUGGAAGUCUCGAAGAAGAUACUAAAAGAGUAAAAAAACUGUUUGAUUAUCGUGCUUGAAAGGUUUCUAAAAAGUACACACCGAUCUGUAUGAGGACUGACGCUAGCAGGGGUUUGCCAUUUUUCCUGAGCAUUUUCCAAAUAAAAAUGUUUAUACAAGUAAUAUGUGUCCUUCUCGUAAAUGUGCUGCAACUGGAUCCUUACAAUUCUCUGUUUUUUCAGUUGUACUAAUAGUAGUUGUUUGUGCAAAAUGAAGGCCUUUGUGAUGCGGGUUGAGGAGGAAAACGACUCGGAAGAGGAAGAUCAUAGAUUACGAGCUAUACAAGACUAAUCCAUGGGUUUGCUCCUACUCCCCUCUUCCACCAGAUUUUGCCUAGUGAAUCAUGUAAUGGAGGACCAGUGCUUCAUCGAGUCCAUCCCGCCCCUUGGCACUGCCGUUGGCGUCUUCAACAACCUCGCUAGGGAUUAGGGUGCCGACACAACGUCGCCAGCCGCAGGCAGGAGCUCAGCCCCACAUCCUUGCUCAAGUGCUUCCGAGCGAGAAAGACUGCGAGGAGUUGGACGUGCAAUGGCCUAGCGGAGUCGUCCGCGCCGCGACGCCGCCGGUAUGGAGGCCCAGGCUCGGGUUUAACUCAGCAAGCUUUAGUGCUUAUUUGUUAAUAAUCCUGGGUUCUGACCACGUCAGUAGCGUCCCCUCGUCGUCGACGGCGGCUCAGGGAAAUCGAGGAAGGAGGCGAGUCCGUCCCACGGCGUCGCUGUCGGGGAGCACUAAGGGAGCUCCCUGUCUUGGUUUGCAGCAAGUAUGUUCAGCACGCCGCCUCCAGCCACAAGCAUCGCCGUGAGGAGGACAAAUCAAUCUCAUUCCCCCCUUCUUCGCGACGCAGAUAGAUCACACUUAUUCAACAAGUAUGUCCGAUUUGUUGUUCACAAAUUAAACAUUAAGGCAAUUAGGAUCUGGAUCUUUGAGAUGUUUAGCUUUACAUGUUCAUUAGGGAUUUGUUGUUGCUGAAAGGGAGCAAAAUAGAGGGAAUAUCUUUUUCCAAAAAAAGUUUACAUACUGAGCUGUACGCCUGUACUUUAGAAUGUAAUCUUAGUGUUAACUGCAUCAUACCAUUACUAAAAAGAUUUGGAAUUUAUCUUGUAUGUGAUUGGUUUGUAGGGCUGUAGGCUGGUGAGGUCUGGUUAUAGCACAAUGCUUCAGACUAAUAUCAAAGGAAUAAAUUGAUCAAUAAGUUUCAGCCAUGGUUAGCCUCUCUUGCAAUUUUGUGAUGUCAGGUUUUAGCCAUACUUUUUGUGUCAACGGAUGCAGAUUAGGUUGGUAGCCUACAUCUAUUUCUUUGCAGUUUUUCCGUGUUGUUUCGCUAAUAGUUCUACUCUAUAUCAUCUCCAAACAAGGGUUAGUUAGCUAUCUUUAGCCCUUACAUGCAGCAGAAACAUUGCAUGCAUUUGUACAUAUAUAGUAGGAUUUAGAUCCCUUUGUUUUUACAUGGCAGAACUACCACUAUGUGUGUUAUUAGCCUUAUUCACUAUGGGUAAGAGGAGAAUGCUUUAGUUGCUAUCAAUUCACUGACAUUUUUCUACAACAAACACUCAAUGACUCUGAACCCUUCGUUAAUAGUACGUAGCAAACAAAAUUCUACACUUCCUUUUCAACAUUUCUAUCCUGAAAAGUUGUAGCACAUCAUCAAAAGGGUGGCUGUUCCUGUAGAUCUACUUAUAAAAAAUAUCACGUUAGUUUGCUUUUCUACUAACGACAAUUCUCGUAAAAGAUGGGCUACUGAAUGCAUAAUUCAGUGUGACAUAGAUAAUCUUGCACAA